This 497-nucleotide ribosomal RNA is filed under the name uncultured bacterium. RNAcentral's name for it is "partial 16S ribosomal RNA". It matches the Rfam family "Bacterial small subunit ribosomal RNA", at positions 30 to 523 of the family's 1533-position model. The record is from RNAcentral.
AUUGAACGCUGGCGGUAUGCUUAACACAUGCAAGUCGAACGGUAACAGGCCUUCGGGCGCUGACGAGUGGCGGACGGGUGAGUAACGCGUAGGAAUCUGCCUCAUAGUGGGGGACAACGUGUGGAAACGCACGCUAAUACCGCAUACGCCCUACGGGGGAAAGCGGGGGACCUUCGGGCCUCGCGCUAUGAGAUGAGCCUGCGUUAGAUUAGCUAGUUGGUAGGGUAAAGGCCUACCAAGGCGACGAUCUAUAGCUGGUCUGAGAGGACGAUCAGCCACACUGGGACUGAGACACGGCCCAGACUCCUACGGGAGGCAGCAGUGGGGAAUAUUGGACAAUGGGCGCAAGCCUGAUCCAGCAAUACCGCGUGUGUGAAGAAGGCCCUAGGGUUGUAAAGCACUUUCAAUAGGGAGGAAAACCUGUCGGUCAAUACCCGGCAGCUUGACAUUACCUAUACAAGAAGCACCGGCUAACUCCGUGCCAGCCGCCGCAGUAA